UGUGUGCGCGCGAGAAGAAAUACUGUCCGUGGCACGAGACAGACGUGAAGCGGCGGAGGACGAACAGCAAGUCUUAUCGGAUAUUCUGGUUUUAAUCCGGUAUUUUACUGGCUUCAUUUCCACCCGUUCAGAGCUUUAACCGUGAAAGGAAGCAGGUCUCUUUUAAAGGAUUUUCACUGUGGGGAUUUUUGGGGGGUAGAUUAGCGUUUAGAGUCUGUAACGUCUCCUCUUCUUUUCCACGCCACAUAUUUUAAGAGCUCUCUGUAUGAAUAGUUUUCUCGCUCCUCUGUCUCCACGGACUUCGGUUUUUUGCUGCUGGAGGAGCAUUUUUACCGAUUCGAGAUGACGGAAAUCAGCGAAAAAGAAAGCGAGCCUCAGAACCGGGACCUAAACCGGCAGGGCACCACCGUCUCCGGUCAACCGGAAUCAAAGCUGCAGCGGCUGAAGCGCUCCCUGUCCCUCAAAUCAGUCAUACGCAGCAAGAGCGUGGAUAACUUCUUCCAACGGAGCAACGGCGAAUCUCGGCUGGCCUCGGCCAUCAUCACAGCGCCGCCACCUCCGUCAUCUCCUCCUCCCUUCUCUGAAUCCCCUCUGGGCUAUGAGCGCUCUCCCUCUCUAUCCCCAUCAGUCAGCCCCAACCCUUCCUUGUCUUCACAUUCCCCUUCCAUCAGCCCUUCGCUGUCCCGGACCUUAAAGAGCCAGCUGAAGUCUCAGCCCAUGCAACCGGUCAAAACUCACUGUUUCCAGGAGCAUGUCUUCCGUAGGCCUACCAGCUGCCAGCGAUGCAAACAUAUGAUCCAAGGAAAUUCCAAGCAAGGGCUGCGUUGUAAAGCCUGCAAGCUGGCGGCUCAUCUUUGGUGUUCCUCUGAACUAUCUCAGCAGGCCUGUAACGGCAAGUCUGGAGCCUUUAAGAGAAACUUCAGCUCUCCUCUGCUAACCAUUGAUCCACUGAGUAUAGUCAAGGAGGCUCCGGCUGCCCAGGAGACAGAGAAUGUCAUCGUUGACCCUGUGUAUGAAGCACUGCGUUAUGGGACGUCAUUGGCUCAGAUGAGUCGCUCCAGCUUUGGAAGUAUCUCCGAAUCCCCUUGUCAUGAGUCUGAUACACUGCAAGGCAAACUAGAAAACCAACCAAUCGCUGAAGAGGAAAUUAUUCCAGGAAUGCUCACCCCUCCUGAAAGCGAGAAGGCUGAUUCAGAGGACAGGGUCAGCCUGAAGACUCCGAAGCGAGUCGAAGUUCACUCCAUUCACACGUACAUCGCCCUCUACAAGUUUCUGCCUCAGGAGAAGAAUGACCUGGAACUACAGUUAGCCUGGCGACCGAAUUCAAGUCACAGACGACUCCAACGAAGACUGGUGGAAGGGGAAAAGCAGAGACAAGGUGGGAUUUUUCCCAGCCAACUUUGUCCAGCGGGUCCGACCGGGUGAGCGGGUGUGGAAGGUCACCGCUGCUUUCCAUGGCAAUCGAGACAAAGGCCAGAUGACUGUGAAAGAGAAUCAGAUCUGCAUCGGGAAAAACGAGGAGAUUGACGGCUUCCUUCGGCUGACUAGCGGGAAGAAGAGAGGCCUUGUCCCUGUGAUGUUUCUGCUGGAAAUAUGAUGGCCGUAUUUCAGAUUUCUCCUUGAUUUAGCAGAGGAGCUCCCAGGGAUGGAGGAAUACUCAGGAGUGUUUAGCCAUCACCUCACUGACAACCAUCCACCCUCCUCCACCCCUCCAAGCAUCACUGCUGCAUCUCGAGUGGAAAACAGCCUGCAGCUUUGGCUUUUUGGCUGAAGAUUAAGACAACCAGGAGCUUCUUCAGAGCUACUUUGUUUGUAGCACAGCUUCACUUUGUGAAGCUUCUUAUAUUUUCACCAGAGGUAUGUAGCAAUUAUUUUCAAGAGAAUGAGUGUGAAGGUACUCUGGCUACCUCAUUAGCCUCUACACUGGCCACUCACUCACAAAAAAAGGGUAAAGGACGUUUUUGUCAUGAUGUCAAGGCAUGUUGAAGUUAUUUGUGAAAAGAAAACUUUGGAUAAUACACUGGAUGUGUAUUGCAGUUGCUUGUGCAAACCUGUUUUUGGUUGAGUAGAGUGAAGAUUAAUAAUUUUGGUCACAAUGUCCAAGUUUAAUGGUACAUAACUCAGAUUCUCAAACAUAAAAUGAUCCAGGUAUUACUGUGUACUAAUGUCUUUUCUGCUCUAUCUUGGUCCAAUCAAAGUCACAACACACCCUUUCUCUCACACGCACUCAAGGGUUUUCCCUGCAUCCCAAAACGCUUUUCGGUGAUUACAGAAUGGCACAUUUGCACUCUUCACAGUUUCAAUGUGACAAAUACUUGCAUGCACCUUGGGGAGCUCUUAGUUUGCCCUUCAAAGGUUCUCCCAUCCACAUAUUCCAGAGGGUUUGUAUUUUCACUUUCUACUAUGUAGCUCAAUGGACUAUUAGGAUUUGCGUCCUGUUGCUGCAUCAUAAACAUAAUUUAUCUUAGGCUACGUUCACACUGCAGCCCAAAGUGACUCAAAUCCGGAUUUUUAUUGCCGUGGCUGUUCACACUUCCAAAUAUGUGCGACCUGUAUGUGAUCUCCAGCGUGAACUAUAAACAACCUGAAAGUGUCCCGCAUGCGCAGUAGAGGGCGCAAUAACGUCACACAUAGAGAGCGUGCUCAGUGGUUGUGGAAGUAAACAUGGAUGCUAACGGUGGAGCAUAUCUUACGGUUUUGAAGUUGUUGUCCGACUGGAGCCAGGAUAUUAACAACUUAAUCCUUAUUGUCGUCCACCAUUGUUGUUUUUCUUCCCGCUUACUCGCAUGGGGACACAGAAUAGUGAGGUUUGUCGAGUAUCAGUGACGUUCAAAUCGGAUGAAUUCGACCUGGACGUUCGGUCACAUCUGAAUCAGAUACGUGUCGGAUGUCCAAGUGGCCUUGGUCGUAUUCGAAAAGAAUCCGACUUGUGUUGUUCAGACUGUCAUGAAAAGAUCAGCUACAGGUCGCAUUACGGCAAAAACAUCGGAAAUGGGUCACUUCAGGCUGCAGUGUGAACGCAGCCUAUGUGUAACGUCCUGUAUUAUUGUCAUGUCAUGCAAUAGGAAAGAGAAAACAAACCAGAACGACUGAUUAAAAGCCAUAUUCAGGUUUCUUGAUGGAGAAAAAUUACUAAAUGCCGACAGUCUUUUCCACAGAGAACUAAUUUUCAAAUCUCCUUAUUUAUUUAAUUUAUUGAUCUGUCAUAAAUUAUAAGGCUUGGCUAAACUAAGGGUGUUUGUAUAUAGCCUUCUUAAAACAAUGUAUAUAUAUAUAUUAGCUCCUGAAAGCAUGCUAACACAAAGUUUUGCAGCUUUGCAGGAGCCGACUGAGGGCAUUAAUUUCUCUAUUCUUACCUGCAGGAGAUUCCUGUUUGUCUCAUGUAUCUGCAGCAUGUAAUGCAUCUCUUUGCUCAAUUACCAUCUCGCCGUGUCAGCACAAAUAUUUCAAGAUACUAUGCACAACAGUUCUAGUCACUCACUUUGUUUUGUUCACAGCUUAUUUCCAAAGCAGCUCAACGUGUCUUUGUCACUCAGUAGUUUUGCGAAGAUUUAAAAUUGGACUUUGAAAUCAGCUGUCUUGUGUGUACACUGUUCUAUUUCAAUAAUCCUCACUGACUAGAACUAGGAUUGGCUCAGGAUAACGAUUACCAGUUUAACCUAACUGCACGCCUACCAGGCUUAGCUCUCAGCAUGAUUGGUCAUCAUGUGAUCCUCAAAUAAUGCUAAUAAAGUUGAAUGAACAUUCAA
Molecule: RNA transcript, 3749 nt
Organism: Xiphophorus hellerii (green swordtail)
Lineage: Eukaryota; Metazoa; Chordata; Actinopteri; Cyprinodontiformes; Poeciliidae
Gene name: SH3 and cysteine-rich domain-containing protein 2-like
Exons: 11
Source: RefSeq, a predicted model, not a curated record